GCCAUAGCCAAGCGGCAAGGCAAUCACUUCCAUUUCUGGUCUGCAAAACCUCGAUUCGCCAGUUCGAAUCUGGCUGGCGCCUCCA
RNAcentral lists this transfer RNA (85 nucleotides) under Paenalicyclobacillus cycloheptanicus. Its description in RNAcentral is "Alicyclobacillus cycloheptanicus tRNA-Cys". It matches the Rfam family "tRNA". From Rfam's summary of the family: Transfer RNA (tRNA) molecules are approximately 80 nucleotides in length. Their secondary structure includes four short double-helical elements and three loops (D, anti-codon, and T loops). Further hydrogen bonds mediate the characteristic L-shaped molecular structure. tRNAs have two regions of fundamental functional importance: the anti-codon, which is responsible for specific mRNA codon recognition, and the 3' end, to which the tRNAs corresponding amino acid is attached (by aminoacyl-tRNA synthetases). tRNAs cope with the degeneracy of the genetic code in two manners: having more than one tRNA (with a specific anti-codon) for a particular amino acid; and 'wobble' base-pairing, i.e. permitting non-standard base-pairing at the 3rd anti-codon position. Lineage: Bacteria; Bacillati; Bacillota; Bacilli; Caryophanales; Alicyclobacillaceae. The record is from RNAcentral.